AUCAACGCUGGCGGCGUGCCUAACACAUGCAAGUCGAACGCGAGAGGGGCUUCGGCCCUGAUUGAGUGGCAAACGGGUGAGUAACGCGUGGGUGACCUACCUUCGAGUGGGGGAUAACGUUCCGAAAGGGACGCUAAUACCGCAUAACAUCCUGUCUUUGGACAGAUGGAGAUCAAAGCCGGGGAUCGUAAGACCUGGCGCUUGAGGAGGGGCCGCGUCCGAUUAGCUAGUUGGUGGGGUAAGGCUCACCAAGGCAACGAUCGGUAGCCGGCCUGAGAGGGCGGACGGCCACACUGGGACUGAGACACGGCCCAGACUCCUACGGGAGGCAGCAGUGGGGAAUUGUUCGCAAUGGGCGCAAGCCUGACGACGCAACGCCGCGUGAAGGAUGAAGGUCUUCGGAUUGUAAACUUCUGUUGAUCGGGACGAACAGCCAAGGGAUCAAUACCCUUUGCCUGACGGUACCGAUUGAGAAGCCCGGCUAACUCUGUGCCAGCAGCCGCCGUAAU
Molecule: ribosomal RNA, 509 nt
Filed under: uncultured bacterium
Lineage: Bacteria
Description: bacterial SSU rRNA
Rfam family: Bacterial small subunit ribosomal RNA
Source: RNAcentral